UCUGUUUUUUAGGGUGACCUCCCUUUGCACUCAACGUGUCUUUAACCCUUUUAUUUAGACAACAUGAGAUUUGUGGCAUUAAUUUUCUGGUGUUUUAUACCUGGUUUCAUUCACCACAUGUCAGAUGUUUAGAAUAGCUUGUACUGCUUCUUGUCAUGGGGUCAGAGGUCAAACUAAAUUGUGACUUUAACCUUUAUAACACA
Molecule: long non-coding RNA, 203 nt
Organism: Sphaeramia orbicularis (orbiculate cardinalfish)
Lineage: Eukaryota; Metazoa; Chordata; Actinopteri; Kurtiformes; Apogonidae
Exons: 3
Source: RefSeq, a predicted model, not a curated record